UGAGAGAACACUCUCAAUUUGUUUGGUGGCGAUAGCGAAGAGGUCACACCCGUUCCCAUACCGAACACGGAAGUUAAGCUCUUCAGCGCCGAUGGUAGUCGGGGGUUUCCCCCUGUGAGAGUAGGACGCCGCCAAGCAAGCUUAAACCCAGCUCAAUGAGCUGGGUUUUUUGUUUUUUG
RNAcentral lists this unclassified non-coding RNA (179 nucleotides) under Bacillus subtilis. Lineage: Bacteria; Bacillati; Bacillota; Bacilli; Caryophanales; Bacillaceae. The record is from RNAcentral.